ACCACUUCUCAGCUGUUUGGCUAAGAUCCAGUGUAGUAUCUGUUUUUAUCAGCUUAAUUAUUUGGUGCAAUUUGAUAUUUCUUUUAUUUGUGAAUUACCUUUU
This 103-nucleotide small nuclear RNA is filed under the name Rhinolophus ferrumequinum (greater horseshoe bat). Its description in RNAcentral is "U2 spliceosomal RNA (ENSRFEG00010007145.1)". It matches the Rfam family "U2 spliceosomal RNA". From Rfam's summary of the family: U2 is a small nuclear RNA (snRNA) component of the spliceosome (involved in pre-mRNA splicing). Complementary binding between U2 snRNA (in an area lying towards the 5' end but 3' to hairpin I) and the branchpoint sequence (BPS) of the intron results the bulging out of an unpaired adenosine, on the BPS, which initiates a nucleophilic attack at the intronic 5' splice site, thus starting the first of two transesterification reactions that mediate splicing. Lineage: Eukaryota; Metazoa; Chordata; Mammalia; Chiroptera; Rhinolophidae. The record is from Rfam by way of RNAcentral.